Non-coding RNA from Pelobates cultripes (western spadefoot toad), 1482 nucleotides. NCBI's taxonomy places the organism in Eukaryota, Metazoa, Chordata, Amphibia, Anura, Pelobatidae. The record is from the annotation of a GenBank genome assembly.
CGUUAUUGUGUUUGACGUUAAGAAACUGCACAGUACUUGCACUAUUCACACUAGACUGAACACACUAAGAAAAAAAUUGUAGAUUAUGCUAGUUUUAGUGUACUAAUAAUCUUAAUUUUAGUAAUGACAGGAGGCGAGUAUUUUGCAUAAUCUCUCUUUACUAGCUCCACACAGCAGCAAAGAAACAUAUAGAAAAAAAGAACCAAUCACAUGAGAGUAGGAUGUACAUAAGGCACAGUGACCUCAUCAUUUCCUCUUUCAAAAAGCGAGAUCAAGCAGAAGUAAACAUAUAACAAGCAAAACAAUAACUCUUAAGUCCAACAUCCGAAGGAGCAAACUUCCCCGGUGAAUUCUACACAAACAUCGAAAUGUGUUCAGGGAUGAAUCAAAUCUGAAGGAUCAAAAUUCCAGAGUUUCACACGAACAACAAAAUGACUUCAAAGACGAAUCAUACUGAAAAGAGAAUGUGUGACAGGUUUAGACACAAAGUCAUGAACAUGAAAAUCCACGUAUACAUCAUCCCAUAGAAGAAAAUUGUAAACUACAAUCUAAUAACUGAAUAACUAUAAUGUAAAACUCCAAUGAGAAUUCCAUAUUAAUGGAAAUACAAUCAUUAAUGUAAGCACAAAACAUUGAAAGCCAAACCUACCUUAGGGUGGGUAGCGAAGCAGGGAGGGAAAAUAAUUGCCUCCUGUCAUUACUAAAAUUAAGAUUAUUAGUACACUAAAGCUAGCAUAAUCUUCAAUUUUACAACAUGACAGGAGGUUUCCUAUUUUGCUUUUUUAACGCUGAGAAAGAAAUAGAAAAUUAAUGAAGAAGCCGAAAGUGCGACGGAAUACCUAGCACGUCGGGUCUACUGGAGAAACCUCCCUGUCGAAUGCCUGAUCAUCCGGUACCUGGCAGAAAGACACCGGUCCAAGCAUAAAAGUCUAUCAGUAGGUGCCCCAGUCCCGUAGAAAAAAACAGAGAAUGACCUCCAUGUCCCAUGAGCCAGAGGUGGAUGUCACUGGGUAAGGGUACAUACAUUUCAGGAUCCUUGUCCAUCGGGAGUCCCCAGACCGGGACACGGGCCAUAUAGUUGUCCAAACCAACCCAUAAUGGAUCAAGGUACAGUUCCAAACAUCAGUCAGACCGGGAAUGCCCAGAGGUAGCAUCAUUAUGUCCCUGGGGCCCAAGAGGUCCCUAGCAGCCUACGAUAGUUCGACGACCUGCCAAGAACCCCAGCAAGAGUCCCGGCCACCAGGGUCAGCCGACCCUCCAGGAAGAGAAGAUGCGGGUUUCCUUCAGAUCUGUGAGAAUAGUAGGAUAUGAAUGUAGGAGGAAGAUAUGCGAGAUCCGAGAAACAAGGUUGACUCUGUCACAGCGGGACGGCAAAGGCAGUGUUGUUCGCUGAACAAUGAGAUGAUGGAGAAGUUUCGCAAUCAUCACAAGGGAGGAAAACCAUACGUCCCCCGGGGAGGCCCAGGUGGCCGGAGUGCGAUC